GGAAGGAAAAACUAUAGAAAUUAAUGGUAUAUAGUACAGUGUGGCUGUUUAAUCUGAAAAAAAGGGGAAAAACUAUAAAAAUAAAAAAUAGUUUUUGUUUUCCGAUCAAUAGCCCGUAAAAAAGCUGACGUGAAAUUAAUUGCUAAUAAAUAAAUAUUUUAUAAAAUACCACGUCAAAUCUACUUUUCCUUUUCUCUCUCUUACUCAGUUCAUAUUUCAUUCUGUUGGAUAUAACUCCAACGGUCCAACCCCACCAGCACGGCAGACGCGUCACCAGUGCCACAGCUACUACCACCACCACGCGCACCUUUUCCUAUUUCCAUCACCAUCACCACAUGCACCUUUUCCUAUUUAAUGAUAUCCACCCUUGUCUUACCCACAGGAACUCGCUGUUGGAAGUAUUAGAGGAGAGAGCUCUUUGAUGCAUUUCGUCGAACAGGUAAUGUGCAAUCUCCCAUGGCUUGAGGCCAAAUGACAAGUGACAAGUGUAUCUUUUUAAACGGUACUGGAAAUAUGGAGAGAACAAAAUGCAAUCCAAAUCUACAUCUGAUAUCUUUUAUUAUUUCUGGCAUCUCGUAGCUCUAACGGUAAGCUAUAACUUUUCUUGGAGUUAAGCUAUUCUUAAAGCCUCUUCCUGUGCUUUUGAUUGGAUAGUUUUAAAUUUAAGAACCC
Molecule: long non-coding RNA, 672 nt
Filed under: Jatropha curcas
Lineage: Eukaryota; Viridiplantae; Streptophyta; Magnoliopsida; Malpighiales; Euphorbiaceae
Description: long non-coding RNA (JCUR_LNC000158)
Source: RNAcentral